Molecule: transfer RNA, 74 nt
Filed under: Candidatus Planktophila sp.
Lineage: Bacteria; Bacillati; Actinomycetota; Actinomycetes; Candidatus Nanopelagicales; Candidatus Nanopelagicaceae
Description: tRNA-Val
Rfam family: tRNA
About the family: Transfer RNA (tRNA) molecules are approximately 80 nucleotides in length.
Source: RNAcentral
GGCUCUGUAGUUCAGCGGAUAGAACACCGAAUUGACGAAAACGGAGGUCGUGGGUUCGAACCCCACCAGGGUCA